Molecule: unclassified non-coding RNA, 345 nt
Filed under: soil metagenome
Description: partial contains 5.8S ribosomal RNA, internal transcribed spacer 2, and large subunit ribosomal RNA
Rfam family: 5.8S ribosomal RNA (bases 1-120)
Source: RNAcentral
GAUGAAGAACGUAGCGAAAUGCGACACUUGGUGUGAAUUGCAGAAUUCAGUGAAUCAUCGAGUCUUUGAACGCACAUUGCGCCCCCUGGUAUUCCGGGGGGCAUGCCUGUCCGAGCGUCAUUGCUGCCCUCAAGCACGGCUUGUGUGUUGGGCCUCCGUCCUCCUCCCGGGGGACGGGCCCGAAAGGCAGCGGCGGCACCGCGUCCGGUCCUCGAGCGUAUGGGGCUUCGUCACCCGCUCUUGUAGGCCCGGCCGGCGCUUGCCGACACAUCAAUCUUUUUUCCAGGUUGACCUCGGAUCAGGUAGGGAUACCCGCUGAACUUAAGCAUAUCAAUAAGCGGAGGA